RNAcentral lists this ribosomal RNA (253 nucleotides) under uncultured bacterium. RNAcentral's name for it is "partial 16S ribosomal RNA". It matches the Rfam family "Bacterial small subunit ribosomal RNA", at positions 524 to 776 of the family's 1533-position model. The record is from RNAcentral.
UACGUAGGGGGCAAGCGUUGUCCGGAAUUAUUGGGCGUAAAGAGCGUGUAGGCGGCCAGAUAAGUCCGCUGUGAAAUCUCGAGGCUCAACUUCGAGCUGUCGGUGGAAACUAUCUGGCUAGAGUCCGGAAGAGGAGAAUGGAAUUCCUGGUGUAGCGGUGAAAUGCGCAGAUAUCAGGAAGAACACCGAUGGCGAAGGCAGCUCUCUGGGACGGUACUGACGCUGAGACGCGAAAGCGUGGGGAGCGAACAGG